RNAcentral lists this long non-coding RNA (1287 nucleotides) under Vulpes vulpes (red fox). Its description in RNAcentral is "lncRNA (ENSVVUG00000014841.1)". The record is from RNAcentral. Lineage: Eukaryota; Metazoa; Chordata; Mammalia; Carnivora; Canidae.
CUUGGCUGUGGGCCUCCCUUCUUCCCAGCUCUGCAGGGUCUGUGAGACACCGGGGGAGGGCGAGUGGCAUCCUCCAUUUCCUCUUCACCGAAGCUGGUGGAAGGGUGUGUCUCCGGCCUCUGGGGCUCCCUGUGGGCAACAGUGGGAUUGGAUCAUGGCAGAGGGCCUGGGGGGCCUGCCUCCCACCGGACACUGGAAGCAGCUCCUUGGCCUCCCUCCUCCCACCCUCUCCCAAGUCCCAGCUGUGUCUGACUCAUUGGCCCCUCAUCCCACCCCUUUACCACCUGACACAGCUGACAGAUGGAUCCCCCACCCCCCAACCCUGGGGCAUGGGCAACUGGACUAACCGGUAUUUCUAGACUCAGAGUCAAUGCAGGGGUGGAUACUACCCUGGCACUGAGCUAGGAUUUCACCUCUACCCACUUUGGUGAUCCUUGUCGGACUCUGAAGUGCCGUGUAUUGACUCCACGUCGCACUCGAGGAAACUGGGGUGCAGAGGGUUGAAGCUACUGGCCCAGGAUGAAGAGCUGAGCUGGUGCUUCUCUACACGCCACCCAAGAGCCCCACGCCGGCCUUCACCACCCCCCUCCUCUGUGUUACAUGAUCCUCACCCUGCGGAGGCUGCAGGAGGAGUGUUGGCAAGUGUGGCAUCUCCGGGGAGUGGGGGCAGAAUCCAAGGCUUUCCCAGCCACUGAAGAGGGGCAUCUCCAUCUGUGCCCGUGUCCCUGUGAUGCCACCAGCUCUGUCUGCGACAGGAGCUGCCAAGGGAGGAGAAACCUUCUGUCAUCGUCCUGGGGCAAGGAACAGCCCUCCUGCCACACUCACUGCCUGGAAACCCUUCUCCUGCUUCACAGAAACAGGACCCAGUCUUGCUUGAAGCUGUCCACCCCCGCCAGGCCACAAAAAGCCUCAAAUGUCACAGGGCCACCAACUGCCACAAAGCCUCCGCUGCUCAGAGCGUGGGAGCCCCGAGAAUCAGAAGCCGCUCAGGGGUUCACUGUCAGAGUGUUUGUCCUCCGACUCGCGCACCGGCCCCGUAUGUGGUCCUGCUGCCCUCUGGCCCUUUGGAGCCCAUGUGAGCUGAGAUUUUUCUUUCUUCUUUCUCUUUCUUUCUUUCUUUCUUUCUUUCUUUCUUUCUUUCUUUCUUUCUUCUUUCUUUCUUUCUUUCUUUCUUUCUUUCUUUCUUCUUUCUUUCUAAGAUUUUAUUUAUUUAUUCAUGAUAGACACGGAGAGAGAGAGGCAGAGACACAGGUCGAGGGAGAAGCAGGCUCCACGCAGGGAGCCUGA